Molecule: ribosomal RNA, 737 nt
Filed under: fungal sp.
Lineage: Eukaryota; Fungi
Description: eukaryotic LSU rRNA
Rfam family: 5.8S ribosomal RNA (bases 238-391)
Source: RNAcentral
UUACUAGAGCAAAGGAUAGACAGCGCCCGCGGAGCUCGCUCCCGGGGCUACCCUACUCCCGUAGGGUUUAGAGUCGUCGGGCCUCUCGGAGAAGCUCGGUCCUGAACUCCACCCUUGAAUAAACUACCUUUGUUGCUUUGGCGGGCCGCCUCGUGCCAGCGGCUUCGGCUGUUGAGUGCCCGCCAGAGGACCCCAACUCUUGUUUUUAGUGAUGUCUGAGUACUAUAUAAUAGUUAAAACUUUCAACAACGGAUCUCUUGGUUCUGGCAUCGAUGAAGAACGCAGCGAAAUGCGAUAAGUAAUGUGAAUUGCAGAAUUCAGUGAAUCAUCGAAUCUUUGAACGCACAUUGCGCCCUCUGGUAUUCCGGGGGGCAUGCCUGUUCGAGCGUCAUUAUAACCACUCAAGCUCUCGCUUGGUAUUGGGGUUCGCGGUUUCGCGGCCCCUAAAAUCAGUGGCGGUGCCUGUCGGCUCUACGCGUAGUAAUACUCCUCGCGAUUGAGUCCGGUAGGUCUACUUGCCAGCAACCCCUAAUUUUUUUAAGGUUGACCUCGGAUCAGGUAGGGAUACCCGCUGAACUUAAGCAUAUCAAUAAGCGGAGGAAAAGAAACCAACAGGGAUUACCUCAGUAACGGCGAGUGAAGCGGUAACAGCUCAAAUUUGAAAGCUGGCUCUUUUAGGGUCCGCGUUGUAAUUUGUAGAAGAUGCUUCGGGUGUGGCCCCGGUCUAAGUUCCUUGG